UGCUAGCCUCCCAUGGUGACUGCUUGC
Molecule: non-coding RNA, 27 nt
Filed under: Mus musculus (house mouse)
Lineage: Eukaryota; Metazoa; Chordata; Mammalia; Rodentia; Muridae
Source: RNAcentral